This 857-nucleotide long non-coding RNA is filed under the name Monodelphis domestica (gray short-tailed opossum). Its description in RNAcentral is "lncRNA (ENSMODG00000034501.2)". Lineage: Eukaryota; Metazoa; Chordata; Mammalia; Didelphimorphia; Didelphidae. The record is from RNAcentral.
UACAGAUACAAUUGCAAGGAGAGCCUGUCGGCUCAAGUGUCGUCCCUUUGAUUUACAGUUGCAAUAGCAGGAGCUGCAUGAAUUUCAAAUGAUGUGAUCAUAUCCUACCAAUUCCUUGGGCUCCAGCGAGAGUGAACCCUGGGUAGAUCAUUUGCGGUGUCUUACAAUGAUGAACACACCAGGUUGUAAGAGAUGUGGAGUGUCACGCUAAGGGCUUCUGACCUGUCAUCCUGCCCUCAAUCAACCAUAAUCACCUCUACCAUGAUGGUUGUUAUUUUGGAGAAGAUUCAGCAAUGAGACUAAAAUGAAGACACAUGUGAAGGUCCUCCAGAUGCUCCUUUUGUUGGGAUGACACAAUGCUGGAUGUACCAAGCCUUAGAUGCUGAAGGACUUUCUGGAAGAGACCAGUGACCACUGAGGGGAAAGUGCCCUGAAAAUCCACACAGGAAAGACCUAGUUAAAAGUGAAGAGAAUUGCUGAGCUUAUGAUAUACAUUUAAUAGACAGCCUAUACAGCUGGUCCAUAAAUAUGCAUAUUUGGUAAAAAUAAGUAUAGUCAGGGGGCAGUAGAGAAUCAGGCCUAGACACUGGAGGUCCUGGGUUCAAAUUUGAACUCAGAAACUUCGAGAGUUGUGACCCUAGGCAAAUGCAUAACUCCCAUUGAUUCUAGGACAGAAAUAAGGGCUUUAAAAAAUGAGUUGAUCCCAGGAUUUGACAAAAGAAGAAAGAACUGAAUCAUUAUGAGGAAAUGCAAAAUUCCUUUCAUGAAUUUUUCCCCCCGAAGAAAAAAGGCCCUUUUUUGUUUCUAACAUUGUUAGUAUUAAUAAAUGGCUUCAGGACAUAGAAUAAAAAAAUCUC